UACGUAGGGGGCGAGCGUUGUCCGGAAUCAUUGGGCGUAAAGAGCUCGUAGGCGGUUCAGUAAGUCAGGUGUGAAAGCUCCGAGCUCAACUCGGAGAGGCCACCUGAUACUGCUGUGACUAGAAUCCAGUAGGGGAGUGUGGAACUCCUGGUGUAGCGGUGAAAUGCGCAGAUAUCAGGAAGAACACCAGCGGCGAAGGCGGCACUCUGGGCUGGAAUUGACGCUGAGGAGCGAAAAGUGUGGGUAGCAAAACAGG
RNAcentral lists this ribosomal RNA (256 nucleotides) under uncultured bacterium. RNAcentral describes it as "partial 16S ribosomal RNA". It matches the Rfam family "Bacterial small subunit ribosomal RNA", at positions 524 to 776 of the family's 1533-position model. The record is from RNAcentral.